This is a long non-coding RNA of Empidonax traillii (willow flycatcher), 985 nucleotides long. RefSeq lists it as uncharacterized. The transcript has 4 exons. NCBI's taxonomy places the organism in Eukaryota, Metazoa, Chordata, Aves, Passeriformes, Tyrannidae. The record is from RefSeq and is a predicted model, not a curated record.
CGCCUCCUCACGGGCCGGCCCGCAGCCGCAGAGCGCCUCUUUAGCUUCUCUUUAAAGCAAAAAUAGCAGAAAAUAAGCCCUCUUUCCCACAAACGCGGCCUUCUCGGGCCGUUUUGACGCGGUUGGAGGGGGGACGCGGAGCCGCCGCCAUUUCGGCCAGGUGCCGCCCCUCACCUCAGCGCGGCUCUGCUGGGUGCUGCUGCUUGGAGGUGGUUUAAUUAAAAAUUUAAUCUAACUCUCUUUCCGAAGCAAUUUAGGAGGAGAGGGAUUUCUGUUCUCUGGGAAAUAUGGAAGCCUGAAUCAGCCAGGACUGAUCACCCACAGCUCUUCUGCUGCUUGAUGCUGACCUUGGAAGAGAAGUAGUGCAGAUGUACUGAAAGUUCGCAUCUGUUUGUGAGCUUGGAUGUUUCCAGCAGGCAGGAAAAAAAGCAGUGUAGGCAGUUCCUUCUGUCCUUCCCAAAGAGGGCUCCAAUCGAGGAAGCACCGAACAACCACGUUUUAAAAUGUUUCAGCCUGAGGAUGGUCUGGGAUGCUGUGUCCUUCUCCAGGGUCACACAAAGCAGGCAUGGCCUUUUCGAAAAAACCUACGUCACGUUCAUAGAUUUUGAAUCUGCAAGUUCCUGGAGUCAACAAGUGUCCAGAGCCCUGGGAAAUGGUCUGCAGAGAAUCAACAGUUUGCAGGACCAGGCUGCAUCUCCCUGUGUAUGAGAACCCCCCCUCUGCUUUUCCUGCCUUCUGAGCUGCUCAUCACCUGACAUCGACUUCUCCUGUCAUUAUUCUUGUGCUCUCCGUGACAUUUCACAGCUGAGAACAAAUGCCUGCGGAAAGCCUUGGGAUUUGGGAAGAGCAGGAGGGUUCAGCGAAAGGGAGGAGGUAAUACCCUUUCACCUAAUCUGUUUAUAACAAAAUCUUCUUUAUUAGGCAAUGGUAUGUUUUUAAAAAAAGAGAACCGAACUCGCUGUUGGUCCCGUUGUUCCUGAAAUCA